GCGAAACUGCGAAUGGCUCAUUAAAUCAGUUAUCGUCUAUUUGAUAGUACCUUACUACUCGGAUAACCGUGGUAAUUCUAGAGCUAAUACGUGCUGAAAACCCCGACUUCGGAAGGGGUGUAUUUAUUAGAUUAAAAGCCAAUGCCCCCCGGGGCCCCUUGGUGAUUCAUGAUAACUCCUCGAAUCGCACGGCCUUGCGCCGGCGAUGGUUCAUUCAAAUUUCUGCCCUAUCAACUUUCGACGGCUGGGUCUUGGCCAGCCGUGGUGACAACGGGUAACGGAGGGUUAGGGCUCGACCCCGGAGAAGGAGCCUGAGAAACGGCUACUACAUCCAAGGAAGGCAGCAGGCGCGCAAAUUACCCAAUCCCGACGCGGGGAGGUAGUGACAAUAAAUACUGAUACAGGGCUCUUUCGGGUCUUGUAAUUGGAAUGAGUACAAUUUAAUUCCCUUAACGAGGAACAAUUGGAGGGCAAGUCUGGUGCCAGCAGCCGCGGUAAUUCCAGCUCCAAUAGCGUAUAUUAAAGUUGUUGCAGUUAAAAAGCUCGUAGUUGAACCUUGGGCCUGGCUGGCCGGUCCGCCUCACCGCGUGCACUGGUCCGGCCGGGCCUUUCCCUCUGGGGAACCGCAUGCCCUUCGCUGGGCGUGCCGGGGAACCAGGACGUUUACUUUGAAAAAAUUAGAGUGUUCAAAGCAGGCUUAUGCUCGGAUACAUUAGCAUGGAAUAAUGGAAUAGGACGUGCGGUUCUAUUUUGUUGGUUUCUAGGACCGCCGUAAUGAUUAAUAGGGACAGUCGGGGGCAUCCGUAUUCAGUUGUCAGAGGUGAAAUUCUUGGAUCUACUGAAGACGAACUACUGCGAAAGCAUUUGCCAAGGAUGUUUUCAUUAAUCAGGAACGAAAGUUAGGGGAUCGAAGACGAUCAGAUACCGUCGUAGUCUUAACCAUAAACUAUGCCGACUAGGGAUCGGACGGUGUUGCUUUUUGACCCGUUCGGCACCUUGCACGAAAGUACAAG
Molecule: ribosomal RNA, 1013 nt
Filed under: Raffaelea arxii
Lineage: Eukaryota; Fungi; Ascomycota; Sordariomycetes; Ophiostomatales; Ophiostomataceae
Description: SSU rRNA
Rfam family: Eukaryotic small subunit ribosomal RNA
Source: RNAcentral